This 484-nucleotide ribosomal RNA is filed under the name uncultured bacterium. Its description in RNAcentral is "partial 16S ribosomal RNA". It matches the Rfam family "Bacterial small subunit ribosomal RNA", at positions 29 to 507 of the family's 1533-position model. The record is from RNAcentral.
AUUGAACGCUGGCGGCAUGCUUUACACAUGCAAGUCGAACGGCAGCGCGGGCUUCGGCCUGGCGGCGAGUGGCGAACGGGUGAGUAAUGCAUCGGAACGUGCCCCGUAGUGGGGGAUAGCCCAGCGAAAGCCGGAUUAAUACCGCAUACGACCUGAGGGUGAAAGCGGGGGACCGAAAGGCCUCGCGCUAUUGGAGCGACCGAUGUCGGAUUAGCUAGUUGGUGGGGUAAAGGCUUACCAAGGCGACGAUCCGUAGCUGGUCUGAGAGGACGACCAGCCACACUGGGACUGAGACACGGCCCAGACUCCUACGGGAGGCAGCAGUGGGGAAUUUUGGACAAUGGGGGCAACCCUGAUCCAGCCAUGCCGCGUGCGGGAAGAAGGCCUUCGGGUUGUAAACCGCUUUUGUUCGGGAAGAAAUCCUCUGGGCUAAUACCCCGGGGGGAUGACGGUACCGGAAGAAUAAGCACCGGCUAACUACGUG